AUGACCUUCUGGACUUGGUUAAUGAAUUCCUGAGGAUCGUCGUCUGGCUUACACCCAAAGAAGGACGGAGGGUUCAUUCUGGUGAAGUCUUGAAUCCUAGAUGCUACUGAAUUGACCACUAGGUUGGCUAGAAUGAUUGCUGGUCAUUCAUUUUAGGAAGGUACAGACUGAGCAAUAUUGGUAAAUGCGGUCCCAAAUUCCACAUGAUAAAUAUGUUCGCCCAAAGGAUCUU
This 232-nucleotide long non-coding RNA is filed under the name Capsicum annuum. RNAcentral describes it as "long non-coding RNA (CANN_LNC020508)". The record is from RNAcentral. Lineage: Eukaryota; Viridiplantae; Streptophyta; Magnoliopsida; Solanales; Solanaceae.